This is a non-coding RNA of Xyrichtys novacula (pearly razorfish), 979 nucleotides long. NCBI's taxonomy places the organism in Eukaryota, Metazoa, Chordata, Actinopteri, Labriformes, Labridae. The record is from the annotation of a GenBank genome assembly.
GUCUCAGUUUUGGAUGGACCUUUUUGGAGACCUGAGAGACUCUGGAUUUUUCAAUGGCAGCCACGAACACCAGUGUUUGCUGAGAUUUUGCUUCAGUAAAGUCCUUCAGAAAGACCUGGAUGAAUGCGUGGACCUGUGGAAUAAGCACCGGAUUCGUCCAAGCAGACCAGCAUCAUGUCCAUGAGGGAUCCCAAAUGAACUAUAUCUCUUGCCCCACAGGUAGUAAAGGUUUACAUCAGUGGUUCUCUCUAGUGGUCCUCUCCUCUCCUACUCGUUCCUCUUCUUCCUCCAUGCUCUCCUCUCUCUCUCCUCUGCCUAUUCAAGGAGCAAAAGUUAGUACAAUCUUGUAUUUAGAGGCUCUGUCUCUGCAAUUGUCGAUAAAUGUUUCUGUGUAUCAUCCUUUUUUCAGAUUUGGUUCAAGGGACUGUGGAUUCUUUGUUGAAGAUGCAGAGCUGGAUGUGUUUCCCGAGGCAAGACAAGAGAUUGAUUUUUACAGUGAUGCAGACAUUGAGGAAUACCUACAACAGGCUGUGGAACAAAACAGACUACAACAGCCACAAGACUGGAGGACAGCCUCAGACCUUUACGCCACUCUGAAGCAAAUAGCUGGGCUGUAGAGACUGAGUCCCAGGUCCCUUUGAUCCUUUGGUUGGGCUGCUCUCCACUAUGUUUGUCCACUCAUCGGUCAGUUUAGGGGGGUCCAGCUGCUGGCACAGUCCUUACCCUGCUGCUCCUACCAGUGUUAACAGCCCUGCAGAUUGGCGUUUCCCCCAAUCUUCAGUGCCUAACCAUGUCUCCCUACUGUCAGUUGUGAGAAUGUGUAUAGUUAUAUUAAUAUGUGUAGAUGGUGGUGGGAGGCACUGGUUUUUGACUUAAAUUAUUUGAAAAAAAUAGCAUUUUUUAACCAUUUUAGUUGUUAUUCUAAAUAUUUAUGAAUCUUUGUGGACAAGAGAUGGGAAUACCUCAUUUUUUUGUAAAC